GCCAGUGUGGCUCAGUGGAUAGAGCUCUGGCCUGCGGACCAAAGGGCCCCAGGUUCGAUUCCGGUCAAGGGCA
Molecule: transfer RNA, 73 nt
Filed under: Myotis davidii
Lineage: Eukaryota; Metazoa; Chordata; Mammalia; Chiroptera; Vespertilionidae
Rfam family: tRNA
About the family: Transfer RNA (tRNA) molecules are approximately 80 nucleotides in length. Their secondary structure includes four short double-helical elements and three loops (D, anti-codon, and T loops).
Source: Rfam by way of RNAcentral